AUUGAACGCUGGCGGCAGGCCUAACACAUGCAAGUCGAGCGGAUGAAGGGAGCUUGCUCCUGGAUUCAGCGGCGGACGGGUGAGUAAUGCCUAGGAAUCUGCCUGGUAGUGGGGGAUAACGUCCGGAAACGGGCGCUAAUACCGCAUACGUCCUGAGGGAGAAAGUGGGGGAUCUUCGGACCUCACGCUAUCAGAUGAGCCUAGGUCGGAUUAGCUAGUUGGUGGGGUAAAGGCCUACCAAGGCGACGAUCCGUAACUGGUCUGAGAGGAUGAUCAGUCACACUGGAACUGGGACACGGUCCAGACUCCUACGGGAGGCAGCAGUGGGGAAUAUUGGACAAUGGGCGAAAGCCUGAUCCAGCCAUGCCGCGUGUGUGAAGAAGGUCUUCGGAUUGUAAAGCACUUUAAGUUGGGAGGAAGGGCAGUAAGUUAAUACCUUGCUGUUCUGACGUUACCAACAGAAUAAGCACCGGCUAACUUCGUG
This 484-nucleotide ribosomal RNA is filed under the name uncultured bacterium. Its description in RNAcentral is "partial 16S ribosomal RNA". It matches the Rfam family "Bacterial small subunit ribosomal RNA", at positions 30 to 507 of the family's 1533-position model. The record is from RNAcentral.